Molecule: ribosomal RNA, 502 nt
Filed under: uncultured bacterium
Lineage: Bacteria
Description: bacterial SSU rRNA
Rfam family: Bacterial small subunit ribosomal RNA
Source: RNAcentral
UGAACGCUGGCGGCGUGCCUAACACAUGCAAGUCGAACGGAGAAUUACGCUGAUGAAGCUUCGGCAGAUUCUGUAAAUCUUAGUGGCGGACGGGUGAGUAACGCGUGGGCAACCUGCCUCAUACUGGGGGAUAACAGCUGGAAACGACUGUUAAUACCGCAUAAGCGCACGGUAUCGCAUGAUACAGUGUGAAAAACUCCGGUGGUAUGAGAUGGGCCCGCGUCAGAUUAGCCAGUUGGCAGGGUAACGGCCUACCAAAGCGACGAUCUGUAGCCGGCCUGAGAGGGCGGACGGCCACAUUGGGACUGAGACACGGCCCAAACUCCUACGGGAGGCAGCAGUGGGGGAUAUUGCACAAUGGAGGAAACUCUGAUGCAGCGACGCCGCGUGAAGUGAAGAAGUAUUUCGGUAUGUAAAGCUCUAUCAGCAGGGAAGAAAGACUCGUAAGAGAGAUGACGGUACCUGACUAAGAAGCCCCGGCUAACUACGUGCCAGCCGCUGC